AUAUGUUGUAUAUAUCUACUUUAUCUUUGGAGCUCAGUUAACAUGUUCAUAUUGUAUAGUCGUUCCUUCGCCUUGUAUAUUACAAUAUAUCUUUCUUUCGCUCUUUAUCUGUAUAUUGACCAGGGAUAUACUGUAUAGCUUUGACAUAUAUUAAAUGUAGUUGGAAUAAGAUAGUUCACCUUGAUAAUUCCUUAGUCUUAUUAUGUUAGACUCUUGGAUAUGAAUAGGAUAGUCAUUAUAAUAAGAUCUUAAAAUGAGAACAUGAUGAUGUAGGUUAUGUUGAGAUGACCUCCUAUAUAUAUAUAUAUAUAUAGAUAUAUAGCUAUAUGAAGUCAUGGUACUAUCGGAUAUUCCUUUCUUUGUUGUUCAUAUUGUAUAGUCGUUCCUUCGCCUUGUAUAUUACAAUAUAUCUUUCUUUCUUGGCAGUUGCCUACUGAGUACCAUUUGUUUGGUACUCAUACUACACCUCUGCAGCCUGCAGAUCAUAGUAUGAGUUAUCUCCGUUGAUGUGUGCAUCGUGUGGAGUAGCCCUAAUUCGGAGACUUAGAGUGAGCUCCUGACGUUCGGAGUAUUACUUAUCCCUCUCCUAUGUAUUAGACUAGCCUCUAAGUUGUAUUCAGAGGUAAGUUGAAUCAGUGUAUUUCUCCUUAAUAUAUCACUUUUGUACUCUUAUUAUGUUUAGAAGCUUUUGUACUGAUACCACCAGGUUUUGGAAUUCGUCUAUGUAUUGAUCUUUAUAUCACAUAUUCUGCAUUCUUUUCUUUAUGUUAUUAAGUAGUCCGUUACUAACCGUUCUAGACUACGAGUUGGCUUGCCUACUGGUGGGUUAUGGUAGGCGCCAUCAUGACCUGAAAAGUUGGGUCGUGACAAAUAUCAACAAAAGAAAGGGCAGUCCGAUGAACUAAAUCUCCCGCUAUGCGCAUGGUCUAGA
RNAcentral lists this long non-coding RNA (931 nucleotides) under Capsicum annuum. Its description in RNAcentral is "long non-coding RNA (CANN_LNC012967)". Lineage: Eukaryota; Viridiplantae; Streptophyta; Magnoliopsida; Solanales; Solanaceae. The record is from RNAcentral.